This is a long non-coding RNA of Drosophila sechellia, 963 nucleotides long. RefSeq lists it as uncharacterized. The record is from RefSeq and is a predicted model, not a curated record. The transcript has 2 exons. Lineage: Eukaryota; Metazoa; Arthropoda; Insecta; Diptera; Drosophilidae.
UAUUCUGCCAGCGGUCUAACGAAAUGCACGCAAUAAGUUUUCGGUCGACUUCGGGAAUGGUCUUCGUGCAUAAAUGUCCAGAAAAAUAAGCGCAGCGUUAGGUCCCACACAAUGUCAUGUUCUAUCAAAAUCUAUCCAAGUAUUUGUAUGGACAUAGUCCCGUUUUUUUUUAAUAUACAGAAGUUUUGGUGUUGGUCUAAGAGUGCGGCACCCAGUUUCUAUGUGCCGUCCUGCAUUGACCUUGAUAAUAUCUUGAUAAGUUUAAAUUUUAGACAGUUUUAUGUGUGUUAAAUUGAAGAGUAGGAAAAUCCAAAGACCUGGGAAGUGUGAAACAGAAAGAAGAAAGCUUUAUAGGGUCGGACCCUAUAAAGUAUAUAUACGCUUGAUCAGUAUCACUAGCCGAGUCAAACUGGCCAGUGCCACGCCUACACCUUUCCCAUCAUUUUCCAUCGACAAUUUUUAUUUCCAGAAGUUUGAUAACAACAUAAUGGUCCAAUGUUGCCGACUGGAUAACUCCACUUAUUGGACUCCGCCACAGAGUUGGUGGUAAGGGAUACCACCUGUUGAGCUUGUUGCGGACGAAAAGAAUGCAAUUGUGAUUUUAAAAAUACUGGAAAGUCAACAUGUUGCUGAAUUUGCAAGCUGGAUGAUAAUUCAUUAGCAGCUAAGCCCUUUAUACGCGAUUUCUCACUAACACAUUUUGAUAAUGUCCUCUUGGAAAGACAUCGAUCCUUUUGAAGUUUAUCUUUUUUUCGUCGAGCUAAAAUUUUUAAAUGUCCAUUUAUUUCUUUUGCGUCCUGAAAAGAAAGAUUUAAAAAAUAAUAUGUUGUAAACACAAUGUACACAAUUAUAUACCCCUUGCAGUCCAACUUAUCAUUUUUGUCAUACGUUAUUAAGCGUAAGUACUUGUUACUCAUUGGUUGGCUUUCUAAAGAAAUAUAUAUAAGCUUAAAUAAACUCCAA